GAUCCUGGCUCGGGAUGAACGCUGGCGGCGUGCCUAACACAUGCAAGUUGAGCGAUUUACUUCGGUAAAGAGCGGCGGACGGGUGAGUAACGCGUGGGUAACCUACCCUGUACACACGGAUAACAUACCGAAAGGUAUGCUAAUACGGGAUAAUAUAUUUGAGAGGCAUCUCUUGAAUAUCAAAGGUGAGCCAGUACAGGAUGGACCCGCGUCUGAUUAGCUAGUUGGUAAGGUAACGGCUUACCAAGGCGACG
Molecule: ribosomal RNA, 254 nt
Filed under: uncultured bacterium
Lineage: Bacteria
Description: partial 16S ribosomal RNA
Rfam family: Bacterial small subunit ribosomal RNA
Source: RNAcentral